UCCGCCUAAAAAAUUUGAGAGUUUUUGAAAGCUCUCCCUAAAACUUCAUCGACCCCUUUUAAUCACCAGAAUUUGGUGAGCCUCCGCCGUUGCUCCACUGCAUCUUGACUCAGGCCACCGUUUUGCAGCGACGAAAGAGGUUAUAAAACGAGAGGAUUUUUCUUCUCUCCCCUCGUGAGCCUCUGUCAAUCUCUCUGCCAAAAAUCGUUGUGUAUUUGUUUCGGCAGUAAUCGUGCGAAGGGAUGGACAACAGGUGCACGAAUGACCCCUGCUGAGGUGGCUGUUGGAAAGAAGGGAGACCACCAAACUUGUCUCGCCUGAGCAUUUUGCUGAAAUGGCUGCUUUCGUGGCAACCAACGUGGACUGAUGUAGGCUUCUAGAAGUUCAAACGGCGAUGACAAAUUACACCAUUAGGGUAAACCCUGAUGCUAAUAUAUUUGGGUCAUUGGAUCUUGAACAGAUCCAAUGCCUGUCCAUUGGCUGCGUAGAUAUCAUGUUAGGGUUUCACAAACCCUAAAUAUUGCUUUUGAUAUAGAUUGUUGGAUGAGUCCAGAUCGGAUGAACAGGAAGGAGCGGCGUUGGAGGAAAAAAUGUGAAAACCCUAAUUGUAGUACUUGUUGGGUGUUGAACAUGGGCCACCCUUGGGCUUCGUAUUGAGUCUCGUGGUUAGAAUUUAAUUUAUUGGAUCUAUAAUGAAACAAAGGUGAAACAAAAGUUAGCAUUUAUUUAA
Hibiscus syriacus is the source of this 730-nucleotide long non-coding RNA. RefSeq lists it as uncharacterized. Lineage: Eukaryota; Viridiplantae; Streptophyta; Magnoliopsida; Malvales; Malvaceae. The record is from RefSeq and is a predicted model, not a curated record. The transcript has 2 exons.